This is a long non-coding RNA of Lepidothrix coronata (blue-crowned manakin), 1547 nucleotides long. RefSeq lists it as uncharacterized. The record is from RefSeq and is a predicted model, not a curated record. Lineage: Eukaryota; Metazoa; Chordata; Aves; Passeriformes; Pipridae. The transcript is spliced from 4 exons.
GUGAAAAGCCACUGUGUGAGCCAGGAGUUAAUCAGCACAAUCACGCAGCCAGUACUCAGACUGACGCCUGGCCCUCUUGCACUUGGCAGAUAGACUGACUUCUUCAUGAGAACUGGAACUGUAUUUGUCACAUCUGGAGCACUGUGUCCACCCUAGGGCUCCUGAUCACCAGAAAUGCAUACAGCUACCUACAGGAGAGAGUCCAGCAAAGGGCCAUGAAGGUGAUUAAAGGCUUAGGAUAUCUGAUGUACAAGGCCUGGCUGAUGGACCUGGUGCUGUUCGGUCUGGAGAAGAGAAGGUUCAAGAGGGAUUUUAUGAAUAUGUAUAAAAAUCUGAUGGGAGAAUCAAGAAGAGGGAGCCAGGCUUUUCUCAAUGGUGCUCAGUGAAAGACAAGAGACCUCAGGCAGGAACUGAAAUACAUGAAAUUCCAUUUAAACAUAUGUAAUGGUUUUGGGUCUAGGCCUUCCUUCCUGGUAACCAGGAAGGAAGUAAGUAAGUAUUCCAUCCUAUUCCUUUACGUAACCAAACACAUAAAUAGAUGGAGAGUGAAGCCUCUUCCUCUCUUCCCUUCUGGCAAGGUUUGGAGACAGCAGACUUCCGCAGGUAGGUCUUGCUCCUGUGGGGGAGCUGAGGCCUGGCUGGGCCUACAGGGCCUGUUGUUUUUGCUGAUCCAGGGUCCAGUAGUGUGGCGGCGGUCGUUCAGUGUGAUUGCUGCUGUCCCAAGGAAAGUAGUCUGUAUUUCUCUGCCCUACAUCAUGUGUCAGUCUUAAACAUCUCAUUCAACACAGCAGCACUGCUUGCUACUGCCAGCUAUAUAAAAUGAUGGUUGUACCCUGCAAGGAUAAACAAAAGCAGAAUGAAUUAGUCACAGACGCCUGGCUAAUUGGAGGAACCACUCUCAUGGCUAAACAAAGUAAAACAGAGCUGCAGGAAGCUGUCAGUAAUGGAAAUGUAUACAUCUGCUGCCUACCAGUAGUGUGAGAAAUAAAUAUCCAACAAAUCACAUUUGGGAGAUCCUGCUGUCAACAGGAAUUGAAUAUUUUCAUUUUAGUGAAGGAUACCACUUUCCUAACAUAUGUUUAUAAACAAAUGUGCUCAAGAGCUGAGCAACUGUGCUUAUUGUUUGUUGUCUUCAAACCUGAAAGCAGAUACCUGCUGCUGUUGCUCAGUGACACCCAAACCAGCAAGCAUGGACACAGGCAUAGAGGCCAACACAAAAUGUGCCAAUAAUUAACGCUGUAUUAUCUUUAAAAAUGCAUAUCUUGAAGAAGGUGAGAAAUCAGACUGUGUUGCAAUAUGUGUUUUACCCUAGUUCAGUCUGGUUUCCUAAUAAUUGUGAUACUUAAAAUUUUGGUCACUGGUUUCAGAAGUACUUAUUGCCUGAGCUAGCACAAUGCAGGAUCAACAUAUUUCAUACAUGCAAUAUUGGCUGUUUUCUUGCUAUCAUACUGUACUUGGCAAUUCUAAUAUUUACCUGCUAACAACUUUGACACUAAUGACUUCAUUUAUGGGUCUUUCCUCUGAAGCCUAAGAGAUAAUUUUAAAAA